CCCAGACUCCUACGGGAGGCAGCAGUGGGGAAUAUUGCACAAUGGGGGAAACCCUGACGCAGCGACGCCGCGUGAGCGAUGAAGUAUUUCGGUAUGUAAAGCUCUAUCAGCAGGGAAGAAGAUGACGGUACCUGACUAAGAAGCCCCGGCUAACUACGUGCCAGCAGCCGCGGUAAUACGUAGGGGGCAAGCGUUAUCCGGAUUUAUUGGGUUUAAAGGGUGCGUAGGCGGACUGUUAAGUCAGCGGUAAAAGCCGGGGCCUCAACCCCGGCGAGCCGUUGAAACUGGCUGUCUUGAGAUGUCGAGAGGUAUGCGGAAUGCGCAGUGUAGCGGUGAAAUGCUUAGAUAUUGCGCAGAACUCCGAUUGCGAAGGCAGCAUACCGGCGGCGAUCUGACGCUGAGGCACGAAAGCGUGGGUAUCGAACAGGAUUAGAUACCCCCGUAAC
RNAcentral lists this ribosomal RNA (446 nucleotides) under uncultured bacterium. Its description in RNAcentral is "bacterial SSU rRNA". It matches the Rfam family "Bacterial small subunit ribosomal RNA", at positions 330 to 795 of the family's 1533-position model. The record is from RNAcentral.